This 24-nucleotide unclassified non-coding RNA is filed under the name Mus musculus (house mouse). Its description in RNAcentral is "oocyte_clustered_small_RNA4551". Lineage: Eukaryota; Metazoa; Chordata; Mammalia; Rodentia; Muridae. The record is from RNAcentral.
UCCUACAUUUUGUGCACAGUCCUG